Molecule: long non-coding RNA, 569 nt
Filed under: Brassica napus (rape)
Lineage: Eukaryota; Viridiplantae; Streptophyta; Magnoliopsida; Brassicales; Brassicaceae
Description: long non-coding RNA (BNAP_LNC004766)
Source: RNAcentral
AUGUUUUAAUAAUGGACACCAUAUUAGCUUCUCGUGGAAACUCUGAUCUUCGUCGGAAUAAGUUUACUCCUAUUGCUUUAAGUUCUUUAGUUUCAAGCAUUAGAAAGCUAAUAAUGUUUUGGUUCUAUCGACCUAUGUUAAGCAUAGGUGCUAUCGAAGACGUACUCACCUUGUUGACUAAACCACAUACUUAAAUAAAUGCUAGAGGUAAGUCGACUUUGUAUUUGUAAUAUGAACAAAGCUUUUUUAAUAGGAGUUACAAGUUCAUUAUUAUAGUUUCUCUUUACUUUUGAAAGUCAUCUACAUUUGUUAUAAAAUUUAUCAAUUUGUAUAAGCUUUACACAAAAGACUUACAAACGAUUUGGUCGAGAAGAACAAUUUUACUUUUCAAAAGAAAGAGUACAAUUUUACUUUAAAAAAAGAACAAUUUUAUCAUUUCUUUUUGGACGUUUUUGACUUAAUGCCAUCUCUAAUGUAUUUUAUUAUUUUUACUUCUAAAAUAAAAUAAUUGUAUAAUAAAAUUGAAAUAUACUCCAAUGUAUUUUAUUAAAAUAAUAAUUUUUAAAUAU